This 601-nucleotide ribosomal RNA is filed under the name Tryphon obtusator. RNAcentral describes it as "partial large subunit ribosomal RNA". Lineage: Eukaryota; Metazoa; Arthropoda; Insecta; Hymenoptera; Ichneumonidae. The record is from RNAcentral.
GGAGAUUCAUCAUCAGCGAUCCUGGUACGUGUGCGGUUCGUGAUGCUGGGACUUCGGUCUCGCGGCACGCGUCCGUAUGGUUUUAUUGCUAGGUGUCGUCGGUGUGCACUUCUCCCCUAGUAGGACGUCGCGACCCGUUGGGUGUCGGUCUACGGCCCGGGUGGGCGCCUGUUAUGUGUCACGCUUUACGGCGUCAUGUGGCAGACCCCCGGUUGUCUGACCGGCUGCUCGGCGGUACUCGCACGGUAUCGGGCCGCAAAUAUUCGAACUGCGUCCGGCCCGCCGCAAGCGAGGUCAGUGUUUCCCGGAUGUACGGACCUAGCGCCGUCACCGGGCCUGGCCAGCUGUUGGUCGGUGGUGUCCUGGGACUGGCUCUUACAUUAAAUUAUGAUACCGGUCGGCGACGCUACUGCUUUGGGUACUUUCAGGACCCGUCUUGAAACACGGACCAAGGAGUCUAACAUGUGCGCGAGUCAUUGGGAACUAUUAAGCCUAAAGGCGCAAUGAAAGUGAAGGUCGGCCUUGCGCCGACUGAGGGAGGAUGGGCCGCGUCACGAUGCGGUCCCGCACUCCCGGGGCGUCUCGUUCUCAUUGCGAGAAG